CCCAGACUCCUACGGGAGGCAGCAGUGGGGAAUAUUGCACAAUGGGGGAAACCCUGAUGCGGCGACGCCGCGUGAGCGAAGAAGUACCUCGGUAUGUAAAGCUCUAUCAGCAGGGAAGAAAGUGACAGUACCUGACUAAGAAGCCCCGGCUAACUACGUGCCAGCAGCCGCGGUAAUACGUAGGGGGCAAGCGUUAUCCGGAUUCACUGGGCGUAAAGGGGGCGCAGACGGCGAUGCAAGCCAGGAGUGAAAGCCCGGGGCCCAACCCCGGGACUGCUCUUGGAACUGCGUGGCUGGAGUGCAGGAGGGGCAGGCGGAAUUCCUGGUGUAGCGGUGAAAUGCGUAGAUAUCAGGAGGAACACCGGUGGCGAAGGCGGCCUGCUGGACUGCAACUGACGUUGAGGCCCGAAAGCGUGGGGAGCAAACAGGAUUAGAUACCCGAGUAAU
This 447-nucleotide ribosomal RNA is filed under the name uncultured bacterium. Its description in RNAcentral is "bacterial SSU rRNA". It matches the Rfam family "Bacterial small subunit ribosomal RNA", at positions 330 to 794 of the family's 1533-position model. The record is from RNAcentral.